AAAUGUACCACCAGUCCACCACCAUCAUGUGUUGGCACAACCCUUGUGAAACAAUCCUAAAAUAGUGCCCCAUUUUCUAGCUUGAAGUUUAGUUUUCAACAAAGGUUACUGCAUGAUGGUGAAGUUGGUCGAAUUGGAGCACCUAGUGGCAGAAGAUUGGAUAUGGUAUGAUUUCAGAAAGGGCACUGGAGCUGAUUUUACUUCUAGAAGAUGAUUUUCCUUACACUAUUCAUGUCGAGAGUACUAUCACUCAAAGUAAUGGCUCAUCCAGCUGCAUGACCCGAGGUAGCAAGGUUAUUUGGGUUAUUGAGGAAUUAUAGUUGAGACACCGCCAGUAUGAUAUGCCUGCAGGUGCAUCCGAUUAGUUACCAAACUUCAUUUGGCGGUUAGAAAGUAAUAAUUGCUACGAGAAUAGGCAAAUAAAUAUACUAUGAUCAAGCAAUAUUGUCAUAAGGAUCCCAGGUUAUCUAGCAGGGAAGAUCAAGUACAAAGCAUGAAGCAGAUAUGGUGUGCAUUAUGAACCAGCUCAAGUAAAUAAGUACAUAGUGACAGCAACUUCAACAAAAAGGACUGGGUGGGGUGAGGCUUGACCAGCAGUGUGCAUGUGAAGAAUUUGGCCAAACAACUUUGUAGAUCUAGCAAUUCUACUAGGGGCAGUUGAAUAAGCAAAGGUGGUUCAGAUUGUGUGUCUUUCGGCAACGAGGCUUGUGGGAAGAGGAAGCCUAAAAUCGAGCAAUUUUUUUGGGUUUGUACAUUUACUAAAUUACUUCAGAGUUUAUUACGAUAUGCUUUCAACUUUC
Panicum virgatum (switchgrass) is the source of this 800-nucleotide long non-coding RNA. RefSeq lists it as uncharacterized. NCBI's taxonomy places the organism in Eukaryota, Viridiplantae, Streptophyta, Magnoliopsida, Poales, Poaceae. The transcript is spliced from 4 exons. The record is from RefSeq and is a predicted model, not a curated record.